GUGGGGAAUAUUGCGCAAUGGAGGAAACUCUGACGCAGCGACGCCGCGUGAGUGACGAAGUCUUUCGGGAUGUAAAGCUCUGUCAAGAAGGACGAUUAUGACGGUACUUCUGAAGGAAGCCCCGGCUAACUACGUGCCAGCAGCCGCGGUAAUACGUAGGGGGCUAGCGUUACCCGGAUUUAUUGGGCAUAAAGAGCAUGUAGGCGGUUAAUUAAGUCAGAUGUUAAAUCCCCAAGCUUAACUUGGGUUCGCAUUUGAAACUAAUUUUCUAGAGAUCAGUAGAGGAAAGCGGAACUCACAGUGUAGCGGUGAAAUGCGUAGAUAUUGUGAGGAACACCAGUUGCGAAGGCGGCUUUCUGGCCUGAUUCUGACGCUGAGAUGCGAAAGCGUGGGGAGCGAACGGGAUUAGAAACCCUGGUAGUCC
This 424-nucleotide ribosomal RNA is filed under the name uncultured bacterium. RNAcentral describes it as "bacterial SSU rRNA". It matches the Rfam family "Bacterial small subunit ribosomal RNA", at positions 354 to 796 of the family's 1533-position model. The record is from RNAcentral.